CACACACACACACAGACAGACACACACACAAAGUCAGGUGUUGAUUAGUUUUCUAUAACAGCAGCUCUGACAAUAGUGCAGCUGCAAAUCACAGCUUUAUAUUAAUGCGCUCUUUCUAAUACAUUAUCAUUUCUAUAGUGUCAUAGGAGACGGAUGCAUGUGCAGUUUAGAAUUUAUUAAAAACUGGCAAAGAAAUCCAAAACAUGAAGCAAAAUCAUAAACAGGAAUAGGCAAGAGAUCAGGCAAGCAGCAAACAACAACAACUCAAGGGCAAAAUUCAAAAUGCAAUAACCAGGAAACAAUACGAGAUCAAAACCAGAAUAUCAGCUGAAGCGUCAAAAGGCUUGGUAAGAUCAGGUGAGUGUACACUUCAUGAGGCAGUGUGUAGAGGCAGGUUAUAUAGGCUGUAUGUGUGUUUGGAAACAGGUGCACAUGAUUAGUAUUCAGGUGAGUGUGAAUGAGCAGGUGGAGUGUGGAGUGCAGGUGGAUUGCAGUCUGUGGCGGCCAUGUUUGUAGGCCACAGUGUAGUCUGGGAAGUGGAGUUUCUGGUGGAUUCUGGCACUGGCGUGACGUAUAGCAACAGCUCGUUCGCAGGGGCUUGUGCGGCAGAUGCUCCACACAAACACAGUUUUGUUCAUUAUUUAUACUUUGUCCUGUGUGUGUGUGUUAGUGUGUGUGUGUCCUGUGAAGCAUAGAUCCUACAUUAUAAAAAAUGACUGACUUUAUUUUUCAGACUGGACCAGUGAUUCAUAUCCAGGUUUGAAACGUCAGCAUGGUGCUCGGCUUCGGGUUUAUAGGUGUCUAAUCAUUCGAGUCCAGACAGGAAAUAAUUGCCCGGGACCGUCGCCAAGACAACCAACGAGUGGACAGACUUUAAUGAAAGACCGGGGUACAGCUAAAGGACGAAAGUGUAUCUCAGACUGUCCAGGGCAGAUACUGCACAUGGCCUGCUGCCAGGUCCAAGCAGAACCCAUGGAAACGGGCCUAGCAGGCAAAGCUAAGUUUGGCCAUCAGCUAAUCAGCUUUGAGAUCUAGUCACAACUAGCAUGUGUAGUAAUGGCUAGCUGUACGUUUCUGCGUGGACUGAAUGGUAUCGCCAACCUUGUCAACUUCAGAAGCAAAACCUAAAAGCCAACAAGAAGAAACCAUUUUUUAAAAAAUGGAGUAACUUCUAAUUAUUAUAAUGUUUAUGCCAAUCUUGUUUAUGUUUCUAACAUGUUUAUGCUUCACUCAUUUCUUCAUCAUAUUUUCUGAAUGUAUAGUCACUGAUAAUGUCUAGCUGCACAUUUCUGUGUGGACUGAGUCAUUUUUAUACAGUAUUGUUAUUUUUUUAUUUUACAGGAUGACUUCGCUGUGUUUAUUUGUGAUGUCAAAUUUUCACUUUUUUUCUGUGGUAUUAAUGAUUUCUGAAGUGUGAAUUCUGUUAUGGCUCCAAACUGUGGCACAAUAUUGUCAAUAUGGCAGAACCCAUGGAAAAGUAGUUAGCGGUCAAUGCUAAGUGUAAGUUCUGUGUAAUAUUAGAUGUACUGAGUGUUUUUUUGGUUAUUAAACCACAGAUCUGAGGUAAAUGUUGACGUUCCCGAUAAUUCUGUCCCAUUUUCCCUGUCACAGUGACUAUCUAUGUAUAAAACACUUAAUGGCUAGGUA
Long non-coding RNA from Pangasianodon hypophthalmus (striped catfish), 1647 nucleotides. RefSeq lists it as uncharacterized. NCBI's taxonomy places the organism in Eukaryota, Metazoa, Chordata, Actinopteri, Siluriformes, Pangasiidae. The transcript is spliced from 3 exons. The record is from RefSeq and is a predicted model, not a curated record.